GACGAACGCUGGCGGCGUGCCUAAUACAUGCAAGUCGAGCGGACGAUUCGAAAGCUUGCUUUUGAAUCGUUAGUGGCGGACGGGUGAGUAACACGUGGGCAACCUGCCCUGUAGACGGGGAUAACACCGAGAAAUCGGUGCUAAUACCGGAUAACACGAAAUGUCGCAUGACGUUUCGUUGAAAGGCGGCGCAAGCUGCCGCUACAGGAUGGGCCCGCGGCGCAUUAGCUAGUUGGUGAGGUAACGGCUCACCAAGGCGACGAUGCGUAGCCGACCUGAGAGGGUGAUCGGCCACACUGGGACUGAGACACGGCCCAGACUCCUACGGGAGGCAGCAGUAGGGAAUCUUCCGCAAUGGACGAAAGUCUGACGGAGCAACGCCGCGUGAGAGAAGAAGGCCUUCGGGUCGUAAAGCUCUGUUGUUAGGGAAGAACAAGUAACGUAGUAACUGACGUUACUAUGACGGUACCUAACGAGAAAGCCACGGCUAACUACGU
Molecule: ribosomal RNA, 497 nt
Filed under: uncultured bacterium
Lineage: Bacteria
Description: partial 16S ribosomal RNA
Rfam family: Bacterial small subunit ribosomal RNA
Source: RNAcentral